AUGAUCACCAAAGUUAAGCAACAUUGAGCCUCAUCAGUAUCUAGAUGGGUGACCACUUGGGAAUACUAGGUGCUGUAAG
Molecule: ribosomal RNA, 79 nt
Filed under: Acanthosepion pharaonis
Lineage: Eukaryota; Metazoa; Mollusca; Cephalopoda; Sepiida; Sepiidae
Source: RNAcentral